Scytonema millei VB511283 is the source of this 185-nucleotide non-coding RNA. The record is from Rfam. Lineage: Bacteria; Bacillati; Cyanobacteriota; Cyanophyceae; Nostocales; Scytonemataceae.
GUUGCACUGCAACGUUGGUGACUGCCAUAAAGUUUUUUGAUCUAUGUCCGAAAAAAAAUGGGAACCAAACAAUUCUCGUGGCAGUAGACCGGGCUAAGUACCCGGAAACUUUAAACGAGGAACAUCGGUGCCCACCUGGUUUAUCCAGGUCAUAAACUUAGGUAAAACGGCGUUGCGGUGGACUA